CCCGCUCUUAAACCGCCGCGCCAAGAAACUGCCCAGGGGAGGGACGUUGCUUCCCCGAGCCGCCGCCUCCUCCUCCCAGCGCCGCCGCCCCGAAGACGCGUCCCGCGGUGCCGGGGAAGCGUCCCGCUGCGCCCCGCUGCCGGCAGCGCCCGCUGUCAACACCAGGCGCUCGUUCGCUGCCUCCCGUGCACCGGGGCGGUGUGCCUGCUGUCCCCACCGUGCGUCCCCGCCAGGCCGAGGUGUAAGGCACGCUCCCACGUAGCACUGCCGGCCGAAAGGGCUCCCCGAGGGCAUGGCUGCCCAGGGGCAGGGGGCAGACCGGUGCCGUGGUCCCAAGGUCGUGCAAAGAACCUGCAGUGCAGUCAGCAGCUCGACCCGUAUCUGGCCACAGCUGAAGAUGUGUUUCUGGAGGAGAGUUUCUGGAGGGUGCACAUUGCCACAACCCCAAGGCCAUCAUGAUAGAGGACAGCCAUUGAAAAGACCAAUGAUGCUCUCUGUGCUGCCCCACACCUUGCCUCUUCUUCCUAUGCACCUGAUAUAUGUGCAACUAAGGGUGAGUUGAAUCUGUUUUUUUUUUUUUAUUAUUUUUUUUGGAAGGUUAGUUU
Molecule: long non-coding RNA, 605 nt
Filed under: Phasianus colchicus (ring-necked pheasant)
Lineage: Eukaryota; Metazoa; Chordata; Aves; Galliformes; Phasianidae
Description: lncRNA (ENSPCLG00000020483.1)
Source: RNAcentral